This is a long non-coding RNA of Chelonia mydas (Green sea turtle), 702 nucleotides long. RefSeq lists it as uncharacterized. The transcript has 2 exons. The record is from RefSeq and is a predicted model, not a curated record. Lineage: Eukaryota; Metazoa; Chordata; Testudines; Cheloniidae.
CAGCUUUGGGAAGUAGAGCUGGGGCUUCAUAUCUAAGGCUGGGGGAGAGAGACUGAACUGGGGUUGGGUCUGGAGUGGCAGUAUGUACAUGGAGAAUUGAACAAAUUGGAACUCCAGAAAAGGGAGUGUUUUAACUAACUCUGGGUUGUGUUUUUGAGUUUAUUGAGGAACCAAGAGGAGAUAUGGAGGUAGGGUACUGCAGGGUGACCUCUGGUCAUGAGAAGCUGCUGGACCUUUUACAAAUAUCCAAUAUCUGUAGUGUAAGGAGCUAGGAAGUAGUCCUUACAGAUAAUAAAUGAGGCACCUGAGUGAGGUAUGGUAUGGGGAAAAUGUGCAGUGUUGCUGGCCAUUCUGUCCUUUCUCUCAGGAUGAGAGUGAAUAAUGAAUGCCAAUCCCUGGGUCUGUUGAUAUAGCCUCCUUCAGCAACACUACCUGCUAUUUUUGAAAAAUCUAUGCGAGGGGACUGUGUCUGAGGCACUCGUACUUCAUUUCCUCAAGGGGUGAUAGAAGAAUUGUAAGGCAGCACUGAGGUCACCCGCUCUGAAUUGACCUGUUCUGCUCUUGAAAUGGAGCAUUGGUUUCUAACUGAAUAAUUGACUGAUUCAAUGAUCAGCUCUUAGGAUCCCACUUGAAUUGCUUAUCCAAUACUUCAAGAGCCUCCUUUGUAAGAAGGUGCUAUAUAAAUAAAUUGGUGAUUAAUUG